Molecule: ribosomal RNA, 1016 nt
Filed under: uncultured bacterium
Lineage: Bacteria
Description: bacterial SSU rRNA
Rfam family: Bacterial small subunit ribosomal RNA
Source: RNAcentral
AGGAAUAUUGGUCAAUGGACGAGAGUCUGAACCAGCCAAGUAGCGUGAAGGAUGAAGGUUCUAUGGAUUGUAAACUUCUUUUAUACGGGAAUAAACGGAUCCACGUGUGGAUUUUUGCAUGUACCGUAUGAAUAAGGAUCGGCUAACUCCGUGCCAGCAGCCGCGGUAAUACGGAGGAUCCGAGCGUUAUCCGGAUUUAUUGGGUUUAAAGGGAGCGUAGAUGGGUUGUUAAGUCAGUUGUGAAAGUUUGCGGCUCAACCGUAAAAUUGCAAUUGAUACUGGCAGUCUUGAGUACAGUUGAGGUAGGCGGAAUUCGUGGUGUAGCGGUGAAAUGCUUAGAUAUCACGAAGAACUCCGAUUGCGAAGGCAGCCUGCUAAGCUGCAACUGACAUUGAGGCUCGAAAGUGUGGGUAUCAAACAGGAUUAGAUACCCUGGUAGUCCACACGGUAAACGAUGAAUACUCGCUGUUUGCGAUAUACUGCAAGCGGCCAAGCGAAAGCGUUAAGUAUUCCACCUGGGGAGUACGCCGGCAACGGUGAAACUCAAAGGAAUUGACGGGGGCCCGCACAAGCGGAGGAACAUGUGGUUUAAUUCGAUGAUACGCGAGGAACCUUACCCGGGCUUAAAUUGCAGAUGAAUUACGGUGAAAGCCGUAAGCCGCAAGGCAUCUGUGAAGGUGCUGCAUGGUUGUCGUCAGCUCGUGCCGUGAGGUGUCGGCUUAAGUGCCAUAACGAGCGCAACCCUUGUUGUCAGUUACUAACAGGUUCCGCUGAGGACUCUGACAAGACUGCCAUCGUAAGAUGUGAGGAAGGUGGGGAUGACGUCAAAUCAGCACGGCCCUUACGUCCGGGGCUACACACGUGUUACAAUGGGGGGUACAGAGGGCCGCUACCACGCGAGUGGAUGCCAAUCCCCAAAACCUCUCUCAGUUCGGACUGGAGUCUGCAACCCGACUCCACGAAGCUGGAUUCGCUAGUAAUCGCGCAUCAGCCACGGCGCGGUGAAUACGUUCCCG